This 468-nucleotide ribosomal RNA is filed under the name uncultured bacterium. RNAcentral's name for it is "partial 16S ribosomal RNA". It matches the Rfam family "Bacterial small subunit ribosomal RNA", at positions 28 to 507 of the family's 1533-position model. The record is from RNAcentral.
GACGAACGCUGGCGGCGUGCUUAACACAUGCCAGUCGAACGGAAAGGCCCUGCUUUUGUGGGGUGCUCGAGUGGCGAACGGGUGAGUAACACGUGAGUAACCUGCCCUUGACUUUGGGAUAACUUCAGGAAACUGGGGCUACUACCGGCUAGGAGCUCCUGCUGCAUGGUGGGGGUUGGAACGUUUCGGCGGAUGGGGAUGGACUCGCGGCUUAUCAGCUUGUUGGUGGGGUAGUGGCUUACCAAGGCUUUGGCGGGUAGCCGGCCUGAGAGGGUGACCGGCCACAUUGGGACUGAGGUACGGCCCAGACGCCUACGGGAGGCAGCAGUGGGGAAUAUUGCACAAUGGGCGGAAGCCGGAUGCAGCAACGCCGCGUGCGGGAUGACGGCCUUCGGGUUGUAAACCGCUUUCGCCUGUGACGAAGCGUGAGUGACGGUAAUGGGUAAAGAAGCACCGGCUAACUACGUG